ACAGCCACAUCAUGUUGAAACAUCAGUUCCCAUAAGAUCACCAAAGUUAAGCAAUGUCAUACCUGGUCCAUACUUUGAUGGGUGACCACUUGGAAAUACUAGUUGUUGUAAG
This is a non-coding RNA of Acanthosepion pharaonis, 112 nucleotides long. NCBI's taxonomy places the organism in Eukaryota, Metazoa, Mollusca, Cephalopoda, Sepiida, Sepiidae. The record is from the annotation of a GenBank genome assembly.